Molecule: long non-coding RNA, 6329 nt
Organism: Taeniopygia guttata (zebra finch)
Lineage: Eukaryota; Metazoa; Chordata; Aves; Passeriformes; Estrildidae
Source: Ensembl
CCUUCUUAAAGACAUAGCUACACAGCCCUGCAGCGGGUGCUGGAGCCGUGGAGAUCGAGUGGGGAUGGAGCAUCCUGCCAGCCAGCCGGCGUCUGUGCGGUGAGUCUGAGAGCCACAGCAAGGGAUGAGAUUGGCGGAGAGGAGAUGGCAUCCACCACCUCUGCUGUCAGCUGUGCCAGCCUGUGUGGGUGCUGUGGGCAGUGCCAGCUGACCCUCCUGUAAUUAACAGGGGUCAGGCAGCCAGGUGAAGGUUUCCUGCCGCUGGCAGCACCCAUGGCUGUCGGGGAGGUGGCUGUGCAUCCCCCCCUGCCCUUGGCUGGGGUCCCAGUGCAGCAGGAAGGGAGCUGGUCCCACGCAGGCAGAGCUUGCAGGUGGCCUCGGCAGCCCACGCUCUGCCUGACAGCCAGGACCACCCGGGAGGCUGUGCUGCAGCUGUGGGGAGGGAACACCCGGGGGAUGGCCACCCCAUGCUGGCUAUGCCAUGGGGAUCUGCUCUCCCUGCUCGCAGCUACCUGAGAGGCCCUGGGGACGGCUGUGACUGGAUGGUGAUGGACCUCUCCCUGUGCAGUGGAGAGGUGUGGGCAUUGGGCAGCCAUGGCCACAGCAGCCAGCUGGGAGGGAUGGGAAAGCACUGGAGCAAAAUCCUGACACAGGGGGAGGUGAUCUCAGGGCUGACCCCACAGUCCCCCAUUUCCACAGAGCACAGACCAAGCACAAGACAACUCAGGAGUGCCCUUCCAAAAGCACUGACAGCACAGAUCCUGGCCCCCUCAGCAAGCCAGGAGCCCCCACCUCUGCAGCAGACACACGUGUGCACACUCAGAAUACGUGUACAGAAUCACACAUGUGUGCACACUCAGACGUGUACAGAAUCACACACGUGUGCACACUCAGAUAUGUACAGAAUCACACACGUGUGCACACUCAGAUAUGUACAGAAUCACACACAUGUGCACACUCAGACAUGUACAGAAUAACAGACGUGUGCACACUCAGACAUGUACAGAAUCACACACGUGUGCACACUCAGAUAUGUACAGAAUCACACACAUGUGCACACUCAGACAUGUACAGAAUCACAGACACAUGUGUGCAAGGGGGGUUUGCUCUGCACUGGGAUGUGCAGUGCCCUGCUGUCCCCUUCCUCCUGCCUGGCUAUGGGGACACUGAGUCAGGAUCCAAGCUCACAGUGGGGCCAUGCUGCUCCAUAUGGAUGCAGCCGGCCACUCAGGGUGCCAGGAAGGGAGGAAAUGGCCUCUCACAGCCACUUUCUGGGUAACAGGUGGAAUUACCUUUUUCCCUCUCUGCUUUGAUCUGCCAUUAAUUAACUCAAGGAGUAAUGAUCCUCCCCUGAUCUCUGCCCUGCCCACCCCAUUCAGUCUCCCCGUGCCAUGCAGCUCCAUGUUGGCUCCUGGAGCCGUCCCCAGCUGCCAGACUGUGCUGUGCCAGGCUGGCAUCUGUGUGGGGUCAGGCUCCAGCAGACAGACAGGGGACGGUCACCCCCGUGUUGAUGGGUACUCCCGCAGAGCCACACGCCUGCCGCUGCCCAAGGUGCCAGCCUGAUUCCCUGCCAGGCAUCCCGGUGCCAAGGUGGGCAGGCAGCGGGAGAGCAAGAGGGGGAUGGCAGAACCCGCUGGCACAGCUAAGGAGAAGAUUCUCCCUGCCAGCAUCCUUGGCCUGUUGGGCGCUGCGCCAGCUCCUGCUCAAUCCAGACUUUGUGCUGGCAGCCUGGAGCUCCUGUGCACGCGCGGGGACUGGCGUGUGGCCAGCCCUGUGCCAGCACCUGCAGGGCAAUGGGCACAGGGCUGGGCACCCAGGAGUGCAGACCAGGCUGGGAGCUGGAUACGCACCCCCAAAGGACUGCUGGGUUCCUCAGCAGCCAGGUGGGUCCCUGGUGGGUUCCUGUGCCCCUCCUCAAGGGUCAUCUGCUCCCCAAAGCACAGCCCGCAGCCACUGGUGCCUCAAUGCAUGGAUAACUUGCACAGGUGCCAUGGGGAGCCAUCCUGCAUCCCACCUCUGCCUCCAUGGAGCACCACGGAGCUCCCUACAGCUGGAGGAGCGGCUGCCAAGGCACGCUGCAGCGCUUGCUUCCACACGAGGGGAACGCAUCCCACAUGCUGACUUAGGAUGAUGCAGACUCCAAGGAGACACAUAGUUGAAGCCAAUCCAUGUUCCUGGUCUGUAAGUGCUGCCAUAUUCCCAGCCAAAGUGAGGCUGUAAGUGCUUCCUAGGAAGAACCAGGAACACUGUGCUCGUGGAGUUCCUGCUAAGCUUGCUCUGCAGAGAUGGGUCCAGGAGGAGCAGCCAGAAACACCAGGGGUGUCUGAGGCUGCGAGGGAACAGCAGUGGCUGUACUCCCUCGUGCCUUCAUGCAGUUCUUACUGGGCAAGGGGGGUCCUGAGGACCUGCUCUCCCCCAGGGACCUGCUGCCCCUGAGGGCCACAGCUCAGCUCCUGAGCAAGGGCCACGGCUCAGCUCUCACGUGAAUCCUUCCAAAACACCACCCAAGGGUGAAAACACAUUUUUUUGAAUGAGUGAUUAGAUCCAUCCAGGCAGGAAUCUCAGCCCUGAAAAAUCCCAGCAGGGUGGGAGAGAGGUUGCAACAAUGAGCUGGAGAUGCUAUCCUCAACAUCAGCUCUGAGGAUGUCCCACGUGUCCCCCCUCACCAUGGUCACACUCUGCAGGAACCCCACACCCACGGGCAGGGGAGCCAGGGGAAACUGUGGAGGUUGGAAAAGCCCAGACAGGGCUGCCCAUUCCUCGCAGGAACAUCAGCCUGCAGCACACAUUUUCAGGGAGUGGCCAUCAGCCCGCUGCUGAACAUGGCUUUCAUCCAGAGCAGGCUGAUGGGGGCCGUGCCUUAUCCAUCCAUCCAUCCAUCCAUCCAUCCACCUCUCCGGAGCCAUCAGACGGUUCCUGUUAAGAGGAGGGUGUGGCUCCUCUCCUCUCCUCCGGCAGCCAAGCCUUGGUCAGCAUCCCACUUCCCACCCACACCAGCAGCCUGGGGAGACGUGCUCGCCCCUCUGACACUGCAGUCACCACUGGCUCGGGGAAAUGCAAGCAAAGAAAACGUCUUGGAGGUCUGGGAGGGUUUUGGGAGCUGCUCUGCCCUGCAGAGGAGGCUGUGGUGGGUUGUGGCUGGGAUGAGCAGCGCUGGGCUCCUGAGCCGAGGGGGCCCCACAAGCCCCUUUAGCACUACUGAGAGGCUUUGGCACUUCUGUGGGAUGAACAACCCUCACCCCACACUGGCCACAGCCUGUCCUGUGGCUAAGAAAGCUCCAAGAGCCAUUUCACAGGGGUGGUUGUGGCCAUGGCAGGCCAGGGCUGCUUGGGAAGAGAGCAUCAGGGUGAACUGGGACCAUGUCUCACUCCAAACCGACACCUCUUGUCCCCUGAAUUUGGGACAUGUCCUUCCCGUGGUCCUGCAGUGAAAGCCCUGCACUAUUCCUGGCACUUUGUUCUAACUUGAAGGGCACUGACCCCAUGGACAGGUGCUGACAAGGGCAGCUGUGGGGUCAAAGGAGUGGGGCUCAGGCAGGUUCAUGUGGGUGAGCCUUGGGACUGCAGUUACAGCUGCAGUAACCCCUGCCCCUGUCCCCUGUCCCAGGGACUGAAGGACUGACAGCCACUUCAGCCUGGCAGGAAACUCCAGCAUGUCAGAAGGUGUUUUUUUCUUGCUUUCAUUCCCUUUUUUAAAAAUCCAGUCUCAGAAUAUGGGGGAAAACAUCUGUGCUAGCUCAGUAAGGGAAGAGCUGAGCAGAGGACGUGGGGAGCAGCAGCCCUGGCUGGCCGACAGCUCUGUCUUUCUCCAUGGCUGGUUUCAGAGAAGGCUGGGAGGUCAGAGGAUGGGAACGCUGCACAUUUCAGCAGGAGCAGUAAACAGCUGCUCCUGCCAGCACAGCCUGGGGUUCCUUCCAGAGAACCGUCCUGCAGCUCUUCAGGGGCUGCACCUUGAAUAGCUCUCGGUGCUGGCCCCUUCCUCUGCUUCGCUGACAUUUAUUCUGGAGCUGCAGGGUCCCGAAGAGGAGAUUGAGCUGUACUGGCACGUGUCACCCUCCAGGACGUGGCUGUGCCAGUGGCAGUGGGACAGGAGCCUGGUCCCUGCUCUGCUCUGGCCACAGUGGGACCCUGCACCCAGCCGUGGCAUCCUUGGCUGGCUGCACAAGGGCUGAGGGAUGCCCCCAGCUCCUGGUGACAGCUCCCUGCUCCCUCCAUGGCCGGUGAAUAAGAGCAGAGGAAUCCAACAGCCCUUGGCUGCAGUCUCCUGCUGGAAACAGCCACACCGCCUCGUCGGACAAGUGUUUCCCCAGCCCUUUGCUGUGUGAUUUCCACUAGCAUCUCCCUUUCCUGAGGAGGACGAAGCAGCUCCCUCAGCUCACAGCCUCUGGAAACUCCAAUGGACGUGUCCUUCUGCACCGUGGUGACCUGAACUCCCCAGCCAUGGGGUGAGGAGCCCCAUGGUUUUUGAAUCUCUCUAAACCUGUCUGGUAGGAGCCAAAACCAGGCAAAGGUUGUGACCCAGCUCAGGGUGCCCAAAUCUGGGAGCUGGCCAAAGGACCAUUCUUGGGCAGGGCAAACCAUCACAGGCCCAUGGGAGCUGAAGUCAGGUCAUUUGUGAGGGCUGGACAGCCACCCCCAUGCCCUGCCUGCACUGCAGCUGGGCUUUGGUCAUGCCUGGAGCAUUUCUACUUCCUGAAAACUGUCUGGUCCCCAUCUUGUGGCCUCAGAGGAGCUAAAGGAUGGAACUACUCCAGCCCAGGAUGAUGUUGAGUCUGCAGCAAGGACAUGCUGUGGCUGGUGCUGGGCUGGUGUCAUCUCCAGCCCUGCCUGGGAGGCACCUGCUGGAUCUCCAGCCUGAUCCAUCCCUGUCCUUACAAGCUGGCCAGACAGGCUGUGACAUGUCACCUGGACCCACACUGGCAAGGUAGAAGCUGUGCCAGGGCAUGACUGGUCCUGGGUGAGCUCCCCUAGAGCAUCUUCUAUGGGCUUCAAUUCAAUUUUAAGAGAAGAAUUGUGAUUUUUGCCAUUGGAUCCUCUUCAAUAAAUGAAACCAGAGGAGAAAAUAAGCCCCAAAUGCAGCGCGGGGCACUGUUAAGUGUUUGCUCCUCACUCCUGGGUCCCUGCUGUGCUGCAGCUCAGUGGGAAGUGUCCUCUCAAGCCCUGGGCAGCCACCACUCUUCCACAGUGCUGGGGCCUCACAAGGAGCUCCCAUCCCCCCAAGACAUGAUCUGAUCCCCACCAUGGGCUGAUGCUGGAGCACUUAGCAAAGCAAACUGCAGCUGAAGUACCAGUCAGAGCUUUGUUCUUUACCCAAGUAAGUUCAGUCACCCUGGAAGCUCUGGCAUCCCUCUGGCUGGUGGUGGAUGGAUGUGGAACAGGUGGGUGGGUGAAUGGGCUGUGUUCCCUGAGGAUGCAGGGAGAAAUGAACCUCCUAAGCCUCUGUGCCACUAAGCAGCAAUGAAGGUGAGCUUGGCUCUAUUCACACUGUGCCAGCCCCUCCCACAAGAUAAAUCACAGCAUUUUUAUCACUGCACACCUCUGACUCCAGCUCUGAGCCAGCCCAGCACAUCUACUCACGUGCAUAUUCAUGGCUCUGAUGAGGAGCUGUAGCACAGGAGGACAAUUUGCUGCUGCCUUACACACACACCUGCAGCUGCCUGGGUGUUGCUCUCCAGGUGCAUGGAAUUAGCUGAACACACAAAGCAGGCUCCACCUGCCCACAGCAAUCCCCCCACACAUCCCUCUGCUGACCCCUGUCCCCUACACCAUCUUCUCCAUGGUGUCCUCCACGGUCCCCCCACACUAAGGCACUGCCACCACGGUGGCACACACAGAGUACUGCUGUGGCCUGGAGCAGUCCCAGCCUGCUGGCCAGACACAGGCAGUGAGGGACCAUCUGGCUACGGCAGGAUCAGCUCCUCCUCCGGCAGAGCCUGGUCCAGCACGUACGGCGAUGCUGCUGCCAGGUUUGGCACACGCUGGUGCAGUGCACAGGUCAGCUUGGGUGACUGUGCAGCCCUGCUGUCCCCUCCUGGGCGAUGCACAGCAGAGUGGGAGCCGCUUCCCAGCCUAAUGACGGGUCCACAGCGGGGCUGGGUGCUCCGCUCGCUCCCGGCAUCCGGGGCUGUGAGGGUCUGGUGGUCAUUUCCCAUGGCUCCAGGCAGAUGGAGCAGCAAGGGAGCUCUUGUGAGGGGAUUUGCCGACAGCAGAGGCACACACGCUCUGCCAAGGGCCUGGGAAAUGCGCGGUGCUUGAGGGGAACGUGCUGGAGCAGCACUGCCCUCCCCGCCCCGCAAAGCCUUUAAAAUAAACUUCUAUAAACAACUCCA